AGCUCUAAUAGCGUAUAUUAAAGUUGUUGCAGUUAAAAAGCUCGUAGUUGGAUUUUGGGGACAUCAUAGGCAGUCCGCCUUUGCGGUGUGUACGGCCUGUGGGUUCUUUUCCUUUCCGUUGCGUUCGCGUGCUAUUAACUUAGUAUGCGACUGCGCACGGAAUCGUUUACUUUGAAAAAAUUAGAGUGUUCAAAGCAGGCUUUUACGGCCGUUGAAUAGUUCAGCAUGGGAUAAUAGAAUAGGACCUGUUUCUUAUUUUGUUGGUUUUCAAGAGAUAGGUAAUGAUUAAAAGGGAUAGUUGGGGACACUAGUAUUGUGACGUCAGAGGUGAAAUUCAUGGAUUGUCACAAGACUAACUUCUGCGAAAGCAUUUGUCAAGGAUGUUUUCAUUA
This 392-nucleotide ribosomal RNA is filed under the name Pseudoparamoeba sp. RNAcentral describes it as "partial small subunit ribosomal RNA". It matches the Rfam family "Eukaryotic small subunit ribosomal RNA", at positions 587 to 975 of the family's 1831-position model. Lineage: Eukaryota; Discosea; Flabellinia; Dactylopodida; Vexilliferidae. The record is from RNAcentral.